Galeopterus variegatus (Sunda flying lemur) is the source of this 620-nucleotide RNA transcript. It is a transcript of the gene named centlein-like, with no coding region annotated. The record is from RefSeq and is a predicted model, not a curated record. The transcript has 3 exons. Lineage: Eukaryota; Metazoa; Chordata; Mammalia; Dermoptera; Cynocephalidae.
GAACUUGACCCGUUAGCAGCCGCGGCCAUGGCUGCGCGCUCGCCGCCCUCACCGCUCCCUCCGCCCCCAGCGCGACAGUUGGGUCCCCGGUCUCCACGUAUUGGGCGGGGAGCUGAGGUACACGUAGUGCGCAGUGAGACCUCGGGUCUUGCCGGCGCAGCGCGGGAGGCCGUCGCGGACAAAAGUGAUAUAAUCUGGUGGGCCGAAGAAGGGUCAGGGGGCCAGCGCGGGCCGAGGGGCGCAGCUCUGGCUCAUGCUCCCCUCCUCAGCGCGCCCAUGGGGUCCAGGCGGCUAGAGGGCAUCUCGGUAGAGGAGGCGAUGGUGACCCGCACGCAGCUGCUGGAGGAAGAGCUGAGCAGCCUAAAGGAGGAGCUGGCCCUGUGUCAGGCUGAUAAAGAAUUUGUAUGGUCUUUGUGGAAACGUCUCCAGGUGACAAACCCAGAUCUCACACAAGCAGUCAGUUCGGUUGUGGAAAGGAAGCCACUGGAAAAUAUUUACCACCAAAAUGAAGAAUAAACCAAAAAAGACAAAGACUUGGGAUCAAGGAAAUGUGAGGCUUAGUACAUGAACAAUGUAAAGAUUUUCUGUGAUAAAGAUAAAAGGAAGUCCAAGAAGUCUUG